Molecule: unclassified non-coding RNA, 1706 nt
Filed under: Nilaparvata lugens (brown planthopper)
Lineage: Eukaryota; Metazoa; Arthropoda; Insecta; Hemiptera; Delphacidae
Description: uncharacterized LOC120353680, transcript variant X2
Source: RNAcentral
AGUUCGACAUUCGGGUGAGAAGAUGCAUAAAUUUGUGAGUUCAUUGUUUGGCUUUUCUGCUGUGGUCAUCUUCAUUUUACAGCUAGUGAUUGCAAAAGAGGAAACAGGACAUUCGUGGAGUGACCUUGUGAAUUCAUUUGUGCAUAAGGAUUUCUACUAUUAUUUAGGAGAUUAUCUUUAUGGAUCACCAAUCAGUUAUAACCAUCCCGAUCAAAUUUAUUUGAGAGUCGGAAAAAAGUGGGAAAAGACUAUUGGUAGUUCCAGUCAUGAAGUUGUAUGUGAGAGAGCGUCGGAGAAAGAUUAUUAUAAGCUUGAUACAAAUUUUUUACCCAACUUAUACAUUUACAGCGACAAAAAUGGUGUAGCAAAUAAAAAUAUCUUAUCAUAUUUCACAUCCAUCGAGAGAGAAAUUUGGGUAUGCAGAAGUCGCCUGCCCCAAGGUAUCUGUAAUAAAGCGCUAAGAGGUGUGGGAGUGAAGAUGAAAUCUUCACAGCCAAUAAGCUUCUACCGGAUUGUUAAUGUGAUGCAUGGCAUACAGCCGAUGAAUAAGAUAUUCUAUUUUGAUGGAAUCGAGGUGUUCAAGGACAGAUGCGCCAUGAGACAAGUGGAUGAUAUGGGUGAAGCUGACACGGCUACCUUUCGGGAAAUUAAAUAUGUUGAUCCAUCUGAUAAGAAGGUUGUACGAUACAGAGGGAAGGUGUUCCUCAAAACGGAUCCUACUACCACCACAAAACCCAGAUGUGAGUUAGAGUUAGUAAACAGGAAUGGAGCUACCAGUUAUUCCAGCAAUCUACCGCUUUGUGCUCUCAAGAGACGAAAUAAAAUAACUGAAUCUUAUUCAGCUUUCGCAGAUGAUGGACUAAAGCAUGUGAAUAGUGUAUACUUCUCAAUAAUCAGACAAGAACUCUGGAAAUGUUUCUAUGUUGACGGUAGACAUUUCUGGAGAAGAAUGACAGUUCUUGUAGGAUCUAUACCGGUACAGGAGAUAGAAUACUAUAGUGGGAUCAGUGUGUGGAGAUACAGACUUGAUAGCUCAACAUACAGUGUCAAAAUAAGAGAAAUAUUUUAUUACAAGCCAAACAAUGAAAGAAUAGGCCUACCUGUCAAAUUUGGUGGAGUGGUGAAACUUAUGAAGCCGCCGAAAGAGAGACACUAUGAGACAAAGUUGAAAAAACAUACAUAUAAAUAUAACAAAAUGAGCAACCAAAUGCCAACACGUUUGUAUCCUGAUUAUGAUGACGAUACUGAUGACGAAGAUUUACUAGAUAUGGGAGCGGCAGUAAUAUAAAAAUUCCGAUGCAAUCUAAUCAGCAAGUUUUCAUGUGUUAUUUUGUCAUCACUGCUAAAUAAAAUUUAUAAAUCACACCCAUUCUUGAGUUAUAAGCAUGUCAACCAAAUCUGGGAGAUUUGUAUUUUCCAUGAAUAAAACAUAACAUCAUUGAUUUUGCAAAAAUGGUAAAAAAUUAAAAACGCUCAAAAUCUUAGGAAUGAUAGAACUUGACGAGAGUAACAAUAAUAUGUCAUCACAUUGGCCAAAUUCACUCCUAUUCUUGAGUUAUAAGCAUUAAUUUGAAGAUGAGUGAUUUUUCUGAUCUGAGAGAGGAGGAAAGAUUCUAUGUUUCAGUGAUUAACUCACUCUGUAUUGUAGCAAAACGUCUCAUAUCAUUUUAGGUUAGGUUAGGUUAGGUUAGGUUUCGAUUUCAACC